ACUGUUCAUUAUGGAGAUGAAAACCACCAUCUGGUGAGUAGAAGCAGAGAAGCCCAGAUCUGAGCAUCAGAACAAUGGCUUUUAACAAGCAUGCCAAAGUAUUUGAGAAAUAAAGGUCAAUGAUACCAAGUUUCAGCCAUUUGAUGCUAUUUACACAAGGAGUGAGGAUGUCACAGAACUUCACUGGGAACCAUAUUGAAGAGAUUAAAAUGGCCUAUCCAAUCAUACUCCGUGCAAAGAUGCGUGAUGAUACACUUUAAGCACAAGUGGGACUCGAACCUAGGCCUCCAUUACCACUAUUCAACAAGAGCUCGAUCAUGGAACCCUUGCACCCUGCUGCAUGCACCUACUUGCAGUUCAUUAGAGUUGGGACUUGGGAAAAAUAAUUGCUUUUUAUGUUAAAUUGCUCAGUGGGUUUGGCUCAGUGGUGUCUGGAUGUCUGGGGUCGGGGUCAGGUGGAUAUGAUCCUGGAAGGGUGCAUAGUUGUUCUGCCCCAUUGCUGACUCUCCCGAUCCCACAGCAAGGACCGCGAAAAGAAUGUUCAGCCAUUUAUUUUUCAAAGAUUGCUAUGUCUGAAAACUUGAUAGCGCUGGAAGAGGUAGCUCAAAUUGAUACCCUCUCCAAGAUGCCAGUGGAAAUGGGAGAAGUAAAGGAACCAAAGCCCUCUUCAGGUCUCCACUGCCCUGUAUACACUAGAAGCAGUGAACCCAUAAAUUGGCAUUGCACUUGUUCAGAUGUUGAGAAGCAGCACUAGGACAUAGAACAUAGAACAUAGAACAUAGAACAAUACAGCACAGAACAG
Molecule: long non-coding RNA, 802 nt
Organism: Chiloscyllium plagiosum (whitespotted bambooshark)
Lineage: Eukaryota; Metazoa; Chordata; Chondrichthyes; Orectolobiformes; Hemiscylliidae
Source: RefSeq, a predicted model, not a curated record